RNAcentral lists this small RNA (17 nucleotides) under Arabidopsis thaliana (thale cress). RNAcentral describes it as "ATSL141920". Lineage: Eukaryota; Viridiplantae; Streptophyta; Magnoliopsida; Brassicales; Brassicaceae. The record is from RNAcentral.
UCGUUUUGUUCAAGAAA